RNAcentral lists this unclassified non-coding RNA (1380 nucleotides) under Hevea brasiliensis (rubber tree). Lineage: Eukaryota; Viridiplantae; Streptophyta; Magnoliopsida; Malpighiales; Euphorbiaceae. The record is from RNAcentral.
UGCUUUCAAAACAAAAAUACACAAAAUAAGUAAGCCAUUAAAGGCAACCCUAUAUUUCAAAGCAUUCACCAUAAAAAUGGAAAAUUUGACUGCAGAAAGUCUCAUACUCAAAUCCAAGAUCGUCCACUCUCAGAUCCUUUGAAGGGUAUGAAAUCAAUUGGAUAGAUUUAGCUGGAAUUGUACAUUUUACAAUUAAAUUCAAGGUAAUGAUAAUGUCAUUAAUUAAUGUCAUGCUUUUGCCACACUACUUGAAUUAAGAGGUUUUGCCAGUAAAACAAUCAGCUAGUUUGAGAUUCGCAUCCACUUAUCCUGCAAAUCUGGCAUAUCAAUGAUUGACAAUUAUAAAUAGAACGCAUUAGAUAUGGAUUGGCCCAGGAUGGUUUUUUGUAAUGCCAUGAGUUGGCCGCCAGUACAAAAACGUUCACAAUUGACAUUAACCAUGAAAACAAGAGUUAUUAUUGCAAAGCCAAAACUAGCAGAUAAAUAUGAGCAAGUUAAUCAGUGCAAAAGCUAUUAUUGACUCUCAUGCUGACCACUCCUACCUUCUUUCUUGACGCUUCUGCAUCGUUUCUGCCAGAGACUGAUGUGCAUCCCACUUGCUUCUAUCACGAUUUCUUUGAUCUGAGCAAUAAUGAAAAAAGAAAUGAAAAUAAUAAAAAAUAAUUGCCAAUAAAAAAGGACAAAUGGAAUUGCUUUGAACAACUGAAUUGGUCGACUCAAAAUGAGGUCCUGCGUUCCAAUCUGAUUCCUAAACAAGACUGAUUUGCAUUUUAAUUGAUAAAUACAAGUCACUGGAUUAGACAAGUAACAAACUCUCUAUUUCCUCUAUUAAUAACAUUCUUACCCUUCCUGGUCCGGGCAUUAGUGCUAGUUCGCUGUCCUCUGCAUGGCAACAGGCAAACAUGAUUGAAUCCUCUGUAGCACCGAACAUCUACCAAUUUCUGUAUAUCACUUCUAACACAUCGCUUUAGGUCUUCUCCAAUCAAGUACUUAGAGACUUCAUCUCUAAGAGAGUGGAGCUCCAAUCCAGUCAAGUCCUUGGCAAAUUUGUUCCCUAUGCUAAGGUCAUUUAGGAUUUGGUGAGCUCUUUGGCGGCCAAUUCCCUGGAUGUGCUGAAGAGCAAACCUCAAGCGCUUGUCAUUUGGGAUUUCAGCAUUACCAAUGCGAAGGCAUUGGACCCUUUGGCAACGAAACGACAAAUUUUGAAAGAGAGCUCGACUAAUAUUGUCGAGUAAUCCAAAAGAUCCACGCGAACCAAACAUUGCAAUCCCAAGUUAAUACCCAGAGAAUGAAAGAGGAUUGUGAUGCAACAGCUGAACAACGUUGUUGUUUCUAUGCUAAAUCAUCGCUAAUAACGGUCUGUUUGGAGGGUGAGGGAUG